AGGAUAACCCCUUUUUCACACUUCCUCCUCGCUCCUGCCAUUUGGAAGUAUUUUCCCUCCCCGAAUAGAAUCUUUUGAGAUCUGCGGCAGUUUUAGUGCCUACUAGCUGCUGGGGAAAAUGUGUGAAAGGGGAACAUAGGAAGACAGGAAACGGGAAGAGGGAAAGGGAGGAAAGGAGGACGCCUACUGUAGGAGACAUGCAGAAGGAGAUACUUAUUGCAUGGAAGCCAAUGAAGAAGGAUACAGAGAAAGGCAUCAGAACAAGAUGCUGCCUGAUACAUCAAGAUCAAAAUAUCCUUACAUUGUAUGUAUGUAUGUAUGUGUCAUGCCCGGCUCGUCCGCUCCUCGUGUGUGCCACGCCCCCUGCUUACCCACGUGUGCUUCCCCGAUUGUACCCAGCUGUGUCCGUUUACUUUCAAUCAGUCCUGUCUAUUUGAGUCCAUGUCUUACCAGAGUUCGGUGUCUGUCAUUGAUGUUUGUCGAUGCCUGUGGUCCGUUCUACCCUUGUCCUUUAAUAAAUCCCCAGUUUACCCCGUUUUGCACCUCCCAGCCUGUUCCUGCUCGCUCGCACUGCCUGAACGAUCACCCAUUCUGUACGGAUCGUGACAGUAUGUAUGUAUUUUUAGGGCGUUUGUUUUCACUGUGGAAAAUGCUGUAAAUUGAAUGAACUCUAAUUUUGGAGUGCCGGCUACAGUAGCUUUAGCAUCAUGGCAUGGUUUGCAGCACUGUUGCAUGCCUACCCCUUCUACAAUUAUGCAAUCUGUCUGAUCCUAAAAGGAUCUAUGCAUGAUAUUCAGCUUGGGAGUCAGUCUAAUGAAUCCAUUUUUAUUCAUAGGCAAGAGGGAAUCCUACUUUCCUCACUAAUUUCUGUGACCUUUAUGAACAGAAUAACACUCUGUUGUUCAACCAUAUGGCAAAAUAAUUGAAUCAAUUCCAUUGCUGUAACAAUGCAUAAUCUUUUUUUUUAACCGAGAUGAAUCUAGAAAUAAAAUAAAUCAUGAAAUGACAAACAAGCAAAAUGUACUACAUGCAGUCCAAGGAUGAACUCUAACAUCACAUUGAUUCAUAGAGCAACAUGUGAAAGUUUAAUUUGAUGUUGUUAAGGUAAGUGAUUAAUAAACAUACUAAAAAUAACAAGUAUAACCACAAUCCUGAAGUCUAUUUAUGUUGCAGCUAAUUACACUAAAACCAAACAAUAGCAGAAGAGUUAUUUGAUUUGCCCCAUUGAUCCAACGAGAUGCUUAAAACAAACAUCCAUGUAUGUAUUUUCUAAAUCCAUAAUUGAUGCCUGUUUCAAAUUAUAUUGACAUUUCCUUAAAGGAGACUUAAAGUUGCUGUGAGUUAAUUGCACGUAAAUGAAACGUUAUUUCAUUUGUUUGCGUUAAUCACAUGGAAGUCAAAGGGUUUACCCCUCUCCAAAGUUUGUAGCUUUAAUGCUUUGCUUCUCGUUAAUAUUAAUAUGUUCCUUUAUUAAGCAUGAGAGAUGAAUGCAAUCUCACUGGUAAAACACCUUUACUGUGUUUUGGUUUAUAAAAUUAGCAUUAAAUAUCAAGAAAUGUAUCACUGUUUGUCUCAGACCAUGACACAUAUUCAAGCUGACCACCCAGCUAUAUAUGUAUUUAUAACACAAGAAAAUAUGGGCACUAGGAGCAUGAGAAGUAACUUCUUGUUGCUUUGUUGAUUCUUAGUAUAUCUUAUAUGUUGAAGCAUGGU
Long non-coding RNA from Brienomyrus brachyistius, 1713 nucleotides. RefSeq lists it as uncharacterized. Lineage: Eukaryota; Metazoa; Chordata; Actinopteri; Osteoglossiformes; Mormyridae. The transcript is spliced from 3 exons. The record is from RefSeq and is a predicted model, not a curated record.